This 254-nucleotide ribosomal RNA is filed under the name uncultured bacterium. RNAcentral's name for it is "partial 16S ribosomal RNA". It matches the Rfam family "Bacterial small subunit ribosomal RNA", at positions 524 to 776 of the family's 1533-position model. The record is from RNAcentral.
UACGGGGGGGGGCAAGCGUUGUUCGGAAUUACUGGGCGUAAUGGGCUCGUAGGCGGCCAACUAAGUCAGACGUGAAAUCCCUCGGCUCAACCGGGGAACUGCGUCUGAUACUGGAUGGCUUGAGUUCGGGAGAGGGAUGCGGAAUUCCAGGUGUAGCGGUGAAAUGCGUAGAUAUCUGGAGGAACACCGGUGGCGAAGGUGGCAUCCUGGACCGACACUGACGCUGAGGAGCGAAAGCCAGGGGAGCAAACGGG